RNAcentral lists this ribosomal RNA (875 nucleotides) under uncultured marine group I thaumarchaeote. Its description in RNAcentral is "bacterial SSU rRNA". It matches the Rfam family "Archaeal small subunit ribosomal RNA", at positions 21 to 903 of the family's 1478-position model. Lineage: Archaea; Thermoproteati; Nitrososphaerota. The record is from RNAcentral.
CCUGACUGCUAUCGGAUUGAUACUAAGCCAUGCGAGUCAUUGUAGUAAUACAAGGCAGACGGCUCAGUAACGCGUAGUCAACCUACCCUAUGGACGGGGAUAACCUCGGGAAACUGAGAAUAAUACCCGAUAGAACAUUAUGCCUGGAAUGGUUUAUGUUUCAAAUAAUUUAUUGCCGUAGGAUGGGACUGCGGCCUAUCAGUUUGUUGGUGAGGUAAUGGCCCACCAAGACUAUUACAGGUACGGGCUCUGAGAGGAGUAGCCCGGAGAUGGGUACUGAGACACGGACCCAGGCCCUAUGGGGCGCAGCAGGCGAGAAAACUUUGCAAUGUGCGAAAGCACGACAAGGUUAAUCCGAGUGGUUUCUGCUAAAGGAACCUUUUGUCAGUCCUAGAAACACUGAUGAAUAAGGGGUGGGCAAGUUCUGGUGUCAGCCGCCGCGGUAAAACCAGCACCUCAAGUGGUCAGGAUGAUUAUUGGGCCUAAAGCAUCCGUAGCCUGCUUUGUUAGUUUUCGGUUAAAUCCAUACGCUCAACGUAUGGGCUGCCGGGAAUACUACAAAGCUAGGGAGUGGGAGAGGUAGACGGUACUCGGUAGGAAGGGGUAAAAUCCUUUGAUCUAUUGAUGACCACCUGUGGCGAAGGCGGUCUACCAGAACACGUCCGACGGUGAGGGAUGAAAGCUGGGGGAGCAAACCGGAUUAGAUACCCGGGUAGUCCCAGCUGUAAACUAUGCAAGCUCAGUGAUGCAUUGGCUUGAUGCCAAUGCAGUGCUGCAGGGAAGCCGUUAAGUUUGCCGCCUGGGAAGUACGUACGCAAGUAUGAAACUUAAAGGAAUUGGCGGGGGAGCACCACAAGGGGUGAAGCCUGCGGUUC